This 74-nucleotide transfer RNA is filed under the name Planctomycetota bacterium. RNAcentral's name for it is "Planctomycetes bacterium (groundwater metagenome) tRNA-Pro". It matches the Rfam family "tRNA". From Rfam's summary of the family: Transfer RNA (tRNA) molecules are approximately 80 nucleotides in length. Their secondary structure includes four short double-helical elements and three loops (D, anti-codon, and T loops). The record is from RNAcentral. Lineage: Bacteria; Pseudomonadati; Planctomycetota.
CGGGGAGUAGCUCAGCUUGGAAUAGCACCAGCCUUGGGUGCUGGGGGCCGCAGGUUCGAAUCCUGUCUCCCCGA